This is a long non-coding RNA of Formica exsecta, 1377 nucleotides long. RefSeq lists it as uncharacterized. The record is from RefSeq and is a predicted model, not a curated record. NCBI's taxonomy places the organism in Eukaryota, Metazoa, Arthropoda, Insecta, Hymenoptera, Formicidae. The transcript has 3 exons.
GGUUUCUGUUUGUAAUUAUAUUUCAAGCAUGAAGGAAGAGUAAGGAGAGUUAUCUACCUAGAUUGAAAGUGGUUACGAAAAAUGUUCCGUAUGUGGCCAGGUUUGCCGAAUGGAAUAACUUGGACCAUUUCGUCGCCAUCUUGAAUCUUCGUAUAUGUAUAGUGUUACGUUUAGUUGUGGUAGUAAUUAGUAAGUAGUGUGUCAUCCAACACACUUACUGAUCACUAAUACAACUAAACAUAACACUAUAUAUGUACGAAUAUUCAAGAUGGCGACGAAUUGGUCCAAGUCAUUCCAUUUGGCAAACCUGGCCACAUACGGAACAUUUUUCGUGACCACUUUUUUUCUCUCUACACUAUCGAGAUAACUCUCCUUACUCUUCCUUCAUGGUUUCAAGCAUGAAACAUAAAAAACAAAACAUAAAGAAAGUCUUCCACAAACCAUAUUUCAUAGAUUACUCAUUGUUGAUAUAGAUGACAUGUUACAUAUAGUUUACAUUGUUUACGCGUAUACGUAGACUAUUAUAGUUUACGGAUAAAUGCCCAACCCUGGUUUAAAGCAUAAAACAUAAAAAACGAAAUAUAAAGAAAGUCUUCGACUUUUUCUUCUUUCUUUUAUGGCUGGUUGGGCAUUAGUCGCCCAUACACCAUUGUUUCUUAUGGGUUUGUAAAAUAUAAGCAAAAUUCCUCUUAAGAGAGGAGGAGUCCAAAAAAAGGUCCAGACAAAGGACAUACGCAGCACGCAAAAACACGUCCGAAUCCGACACGUUGUCAGUCGGAACUACCCACAGAAGCCGUAUCUACGGCCAGUAUUCAUAGUCCGUUCUUAUAUUCAAGAUCGUCUUAAGGAUCGGCAGGAGUGACGGCCAAACUCCGAAUUGAUCAAGAGACACGGUAGUGUCUCGCGGCAAGUCACGCGCAGCAACAGCAAGGCACCCCGGAUCUUUUCAAUUUUUACCUUUAAGGAAUUGAUAAACUACGCUAAAAUCUUUAUUCGAGAAUCCAUGAGCAAUGAUCGCUCUAUAAAUCUGAUGUGCCAGAGAACCGAGAGGAAUCGGAGCUUGCGUUCUGAUUGCAGCAGAUUGAGCUAAUCCCAAAUCUUUGGCCAUCAAUGUUGUGCCAAAACCACCCUAGAUUGGUAGGAUUCCUGGGACUGGAUUGUAGAGAUCAGAAGACCAGCAUCUUCCCGAGCUGGAAUUUACGAUGUUUGCUAGCACCUUGGCAUCCAAGCCCAGCCUAAAACAUAUAAAGCGCAUACAGUCUAACAUUAGAGAAUUAAAGCGGAUAAAUAAACAUCCCGCUUGUUUCUCACUUUUGUCCAAGGUUGAAUGCCUCUGCAGUACCGAUCAUACUAAUAGCUAAUAGCAUGUUAUUACAU